GCGUGUGUGAAGAAGGCCUGCGGGUUGUAAAGCACUUUCAAUUGGGAAGAAAAGGGGUUGGUUAAUACCCGACUCUCUAGACGUUACCUUUAGAAGAAGCACCGGCUAACUCCGUGCCAGCAGCCGCGGUAAUACGGAGGGUGCAAGCGUUAAUCGGAAUUACUGGGCGUAAAGCGCGCGUAGGCGGUUUGUUAAGUCAGAUGUGAAAUCCCCGGGCUCAACCUGGGAAUUGCAUUUGAUACUGGCAGGCUAGAGUAUGGUAGAGGGAAGUGGAAUUCCGGGUGUAGCGGUGAAAUGCGU
Molecule: ribosomal RNA, 300 nt
Filed under: uncultured bacterium
Lineage: Bacteria
Description: bacterial SSU rRNA
Rfam family: Bacterial small subunit ribosomal RNA
Source: RNAcentral